This 460-nucleotide ribosomal RNA is filed under the name uncultured bacterium. Its description in RNAcentral is "partial 16S ribosomal RNA". It matches the Rfam family "Bacterial small subunit ribosomal RNA", at positions 338 to 795 of the family's 1533-position model. The record is from RNAcentral.
CCUACGGGAGGCAGCAGUGAGGAAUAUUGGUCAAUGGACGAGAGUCUGAACCAGCCAAGUAGCGUGAAGGAUGACUGCCCUAUGGGUUGUAAACUUCUUUUAUAAAGGAAUAAAACGAGGCACGUGUGCCUUUUUGCAUGUACUUUAUGAAUAAGGAUCGGCUAACUCCGUGCCAGCAGCCGCGGUAAUACGGAGGAUCCGAGCGUUAUCCGGAUUUGUUGGGUUUAAAGGGAGCGUAGAUGGGUUGUUAAGUCAGUUGUGAAAGUUUGCGGCUCAACCGUAAAAUUGCAAUUGAUACUGGCAGUCUUGAGUACAGUUGAGGUAGGCGGAAUUCGUGGUGUAGCGGUGAAAUGCUUAGAUAUCACGAAGAACCCCGAGUGCGAAGGCAGCUUACUAAACUGUGACUGACAUUGAUGCUCGAAAGUGUGGGUAUCAAACAGGAUUAGAUACCCGAGUAGUC